This 305-nucleotide ribosomal RNA is filed under the name uncultured bacterium. Its description in RNAcentral is "partial 16S ribosomal RNA". It matches the Rfam family "Bacterial small subunit ribosomal RNA", at positions 508 to 807 of the family's 1533-position model. The record is from RNAcentral.
ACAGCAGUCGCCGCGGGAAUACAGAGGGUGCGAGCGUUAAUCGGAUUUACUGGGCGUAAAGCGUGCGUAGGCGGCUUUUUAAGUCGGAUGUGAAAUCCCUGAGCUUAACUUAGGAAUUGCAUUUGAUACUGGGAAGCUAGAGUAUGGGAGAGGAUGGUAGAAUUCCAGGUGUAGCGGUGAAAUGCGUAGAGAUCUGGAGGAAUACCGAUGGCGAAGGCAGCCAUCUGGCCUAAUACUGACGCUGAGGUACGAAAGCAUGGGGAGCAAACAGGAUUAGAGACCCGAGUAGUCCCUGUCUCUUAUAC